CCUACGGGAGGCAGCAGUGGGGAAUAUUGCACAAUGGGGGAAACCCUGAUGCAGCGACGCCGCGUGAGCGAUGAAGUAUUUCGGUAUGUAAAGCUCUAACAGCAGGGAAGAAGAUGACGGUACCUGACUAAGAAGCCCCGGCUAACUACGAGCCAGCAGCCGCGGUAAUACGUAGGGGGCAAGCGUUAUCCGGAUGUACUGAGUGUAAAGGGAGCGUAGACGGCGAUGCAAGACAGAUGUGAACGCCCGGCGCUCAACCCCGGGACUGCAUUUGGAACUGUGUGGCUGGAGUGUCGGAGAGGCAGGCGGAAUUCCUAGUGUAGCGGUGAAAUGCGUAGAUAUUAGGAGGAACACCAGUGGCGAAGGCGGCCUGCUGGACGAUGACUGACGUUGAGGCUCGAAAGCGUGGGGAGCAAACAGGAUUAGAUACCCGUGUAGUC
Molecule: ribosomal RNA, 440 nt
Filed under: uncultured bacterium
Lineage: Bacteria
Description: partial 16S ribosomal RNA
Rfam family: Bacterial small subunit ribosomal RNA
Source: RNAcentral